Long non-coding RNA from Ictalurus punctatus (channel catfish), 1241 nucleotides. The record is from Ensembl. Lineage: Eukaryota; Metazoa; Chordata; Actinopteri; Siluriformes; Ictaluridae.
AGACAGGGCCGAUCCAGACGGAAAUAAAAUCCCCAAAGAGCACAUGUAAAAUAGGAAAUUACCCCAUGGACCCCUGUACAUCUAAUCCUGUCUGGACAGGGUGUUAGUGCUAGUACUGAUGAGGUGAGAGGUGGGCGUGGCGCUCGGAUCUCCACCUGGUUUGGCGCUUGGCUGAGUUUUGCCCCUUAGGGCUUUCCAUACUGAGUUUCAGAACUCUUCACUUCAGCGGGUAAGAAGCGCCCGAUUUCCUGGUACGAGGCACAAUGGGCAUUUCUUUGAACUGGGGGAGAAUGACUCGAAUAGACGAGAGCGGAGAUGAAAACAGAUAAACAGGAAGCUACUUUUUCAGAGAAGGGAAGUUGAAAUGUUCCUCAUACCUCAUGCGAUAAAAGCCAUGUUUUGCGACCAGCGACCUACACAGCCUGGUGAAUAUAUUCAUAUAUCCAAUUGAGAGCUUCUUAUCGAGCGAUAUAACCCAAUAUGAUCCUGUACGCCGUAUUGUUCCACCCCUACUAAUCAGCACAGAGAGUGCUCUUUAAAUAUUUUGCAUGGAGGAAUAAACCAAGGUCCCUCUCCAACUUUGAUAGACUUUACAGGAAGAGGCUCGGUGCUGCUAUUCUCCACAGGAGUCUUCAUCUAAUGCUUUCUUUGCAUGCUGAUAAUUUUUAAAUGAACAUGUACUGCUUAUAUAGAUUGGUUGGUUAUUAAAUUCAAACAAGUGACUAAAGAGACUAAAGUGGCUGUUUUUUUGUUUUUCCCCUUCACGUGUCGACCUAAUAGACGGGCAUCUCGUUUAUUAAAUGUGCACUUUCGACCAGUUUCCUGUGCUUUUUACUGAUGCCUUUCUCAGAGGUCAGGAUGCACCGUUCCUGUUGAGCAGCCAAUCGAGCAGUCUUUGUGACUCCUGCCAUCUGUGCUCCAAUGAUGAAAUUUUCUUUCAAAGUCAUAUAGCUCUACAUCUCACCUAUCUGGAAGUAUCUUGCUUUCUCCACUUAUUUAUUCUGUUUUGUUUUGAUAUUUUUUCUUCUUCUAAUUUUGCCAGCCAUGUCUGUAUAUUAUAUGUUGAAUGCAGAUUGUUAUUUAAAUGAUCGCCGUCACACCGGGGGUCAUCACACUGUUGUGUUUUAUUUUGUGCAUAUUCGGAAAAUUAUAUGGUCUGCACUUAAAUAGCGCUUUUAUCCAAAGCGCUUUACACUGGUUAUCAUUCACCCAUUCACACACACACUCGCACACUAAUGGUA